UUAAGCGACUAAGCGUACACGGUGGAUGCCCUGGCAGUCAGAGGCGAUGAAGGACGUGCUAAUCUGCGAUAAGCGUCGGUAAGGUGAUAUGAACCGUUAUAACCGGCGAUUUCCGAAUGGGGAAACCCAGUGUGAUUCGUCACACUAUCAUUAACUGAAUCCAUAGGUUAAUGAGGCGAACCGGGGGAACUGAAACAUCUAAGUACCCCGAGGAAAAGAAAUCAACCGAGAUUCCCCCAGUAGCGGCGAGCGAACGGGGAGCAGCCCAGAGCCUGAAUCAGUGUGUGUGUUAGUGGAAGCGUCUGGAAAGGCGUGCGAUACAGGGUGACAGCCCCGUACACAAAAAUGCACAUACUGUGAGCUCGAUGAGUAGGGCGGGACACGUGGUAUCCUGUCUGAAUAUGGGGGGACCAUCCUCCAAGGCUAAAUACUCCUGACUGACCGAUAGUGAACCAGUACCGUGAGGGAAAGGCGAAAAGAACCCCGGCGAGGGGAGUGAAAAAGAACCUGAAACCGUGUACGUACAAGCAGUGGGAGCACGCUUAGGCGUGUGACUGCGUACCUUUUGUAUAAUGGGUCAGCGACUUAUAUUCUGUAGCAAGGUUAACCGAAUAGGGGAGCCGAAGGGAAACCGAGUCUUAACUGGGCGUUAAGUUGCAGGGUAUAGACCCGAAACCCGGUGAUCUAGCCAUGGGCAGGUUGAAGGUUGGGUAACACUAACUGGAGGACCGAACCGACUAAUGUUGAAAAAUUAGCGGAUGACUUGUGGCUGGGGGUGAAAGGCCAAUCAAACCGGGAGAUAGCUGGUUCUCCCCGAAAGCUAUUUAGGUAGCGCCUCGUGAAUUCAUCUCCGGGGGUAGAGCACUGUUUCGGCAAGGGGGUCAUCCCGACUUACCAACCCGAUGCAAACUGCGAAUACCGGAGAAUGUUAUCACGGGAGACACACGGCGGGUGCUAACGUCCGUCGUGAAGAGGGAAACAACCCAGACCGCCAGCUAAGGUCCCAAAGUCAUGGUUAAGUGGGAAACGAUGUGGGAAGGCCCAGACAGCCAGGAUGUUGGCUUAGAAGCAGCCAUCAUUUAAAGAAAGCGUAAUAGCUCACUGGUCGAGUCGGCCUGCGCGGAAGAUGUAACGGGGCUAAACCAUGCACCGAAGCUGCGGCAGCGACGCUUAUGCGUUGUUGGGUAGGGGAGCGUUCUGUAAGCCUGCGAAGGUGUGCUGUGAGGCAUGCUGGAGGUAUCAGAAGUGCGAAUGCUGACAUAAGUAACGAUAAAGCGGGUGAAAAGCCCGCUCGCCGGAAGACCAAGGGUUCCUGUCCAACGUUAAUCGGGGCAGGGUGAGUCGACCCCUAAGGCGAGGCCGAAAGGCGUAGUCGAUGGGAAACAGGUUAAUAUUCCUGUACUUGGUGUUACUGCGAAGGGGGGACGGAGAAGGCUAUGUUGGCCGGGCGACGGUUGUCCCGGUUUAAGCGUGUAGGCUGGUUUUCCAGGCAAAUCCGGAAAAUCAAGGCUGAGGCGUGAUGACGAGGCACUACGGUGCUGAAGCAACAAAUGCCCUGCUUCCAGGAAAAGCCUCUAAGCAUCAGGUAACAUCAAAUCGUACCCCAAACCGACACAGGUGGUCAGGUAGAGAAUACCAAGGCGCUUGAGAGAACUCGGGUGAAGGAACUAGGCAAAAUGGUGCCGUAACUUCGGGAGAAGGCACGCUGAUAUGUAGGUGAAGUCCCUCGCGGAUGGAGCUGAAAUCAGUCGAAGAUACCAGCUGGCUGCAACUGUUUAUUAAAAACACAGCACUGUGCAAACACGAAAGUGGACGUAUACGGUGUGACGCCUGCCCGGUGCCGGAAGGUUAAUUGAUGGGGUCAGCGCAAGCGAAGCUCUUGAUCGAAGCCCCGGUAAACGGCGGCCGUAACUAUAACGGUCCUAAGGUAGCGAAAUUCCUUGUCGGGUAAGUUCCGACCUGCACGAAUGGCGUAAUGAUGGCCAGGCUGUCUCCACCCGAGACUCAGUGAAAUUGAACUCGCUGUGAAGAUGCAGUGUACCCGCGGCAAGACGGAAAGACCCCGUGAACCUUUACUAUAGCUUGACACUGAACAUUGAGCCUUGAUGUGUAGGAUAGGUGGGAGGCUUUGAAGUGUGGACGCCAGUCUGCAUGGAGCCGACCUUGAAAUACCACCCUUUAAUGUUUGAUGUUCUAACGUUGACCCGUAAUCCGGGUUGCGGACAGUGUCUGGUGGGUAGUUUGACUGGGGCGGUCUCCUCCUAAAGAGUAACGGAGGAGCACGAAGGUUGGCUAAUCCUGGUCGGACAUCAGGAGGUUAGUGCAAUGGCAUAAGCCAGCUUGACUGCGAGCGUGACGGCGCGAGCAGGUGCGAAAGCAGGUCAUAGUGAUCCGGUGGUUCUGAAUGGAAGGGCCAUCGCUCAACGGAUAAAAGGUACUCCGGGGAUAACAGGCUGAUACCGCCCAAGAGUUCAUAUCGACGGCGGUGUUUGGCACCUCGAUGUCGGCUCAUCACAUCCUGGGGCUGAAGUAGGUCCCAAGGGUAUGGCUGUUCGCCAUUUAAAGUGGUACGCGAGCUGGGUUUAGAACGUCGUGAGACAGUUCGGUCCCUAUCUGCCGUGGGCGCUGGAGAACUGAGGGGGGCUGCUCCUAGUACGAGAGGACCGGAGUGGACGCAUCACUGGUGUUCGGGUUGUCAUGCCAAUGGCACUGCCCGGUAGCUAAAUGCGGAAGAGAUAAGUGCUGAAAGCAUCUAAGCACGAAACUUGCCCCGAGAUGAGUUCUCCCUGACUCCUUGAGAGUCCUGAAGGAACGUUGAAGACGACGACGUUGAUAGGCCGGGUGUGUAAGCGCAGCGAUGCGUUGAGCUAACCGGUACUAAUGAACCGUGAGGCUUAACCUU
Molecule: ribosomal RNA, 2902 nt
Filed under: Escherichia coli
Lineage: Bacteria; Pseudomonadati; Pseudomonadota; Gammaproteobacteria; Enterobacterales; Enterobacteriaceae
Description: bacterial LSU rRNA
Rfam family: Bacterial large subunit ribosomal RNA
Source: RNAcentral